Molecule: ribosomal RNA, 1489 nt
Filed under: Lactiplantibacillus plantarum
Lineage: Bacteria; Bacillati; Bacillota; Bacilli; Lactobacillales; Lactobacillaceae
Description: bacterial SSU rRNA
Rfam family: Bacterial small subunit ribosomal RNA
Source: RNAcentral
GACGAACGCUGGCGGCGUGCCUAAUACAUGCAAGUCGAACGAACUCUGGUAUUGAUUGGUGCUUGCAUCAUGAUUUACAUUUGAGUGAGUGGCGAACUGGUGAGUAACACGUGGGAAACCUGCCCAGAAGCGGGGGAUAACACCUGGAAACAGAUGCUAAUACCGCAUAACAACUUGGACCGCAUGGUCCGAGCUUGAAAGAUGGUUUCGGCUAUCACUUUUGGAUGGUCCCGCGGCGUAUUAGCUAGAUGGUGGGGUAACGGCUCACCAUGGCAAUGAUACGUAGCCGACCUGAGAGGGUAAUCGGCCACAUUGGGACUGAGACACGGCCCAAACUCCUACGGGAGGCAGCAGUAGGGAAUCUUCCACAAUGGACGAAAGUCUGAUGGAGCAACGCCGCGUGAGUGAAGAAGGGUUUCGGCUCGUAAAACUCUGUUGUUAAAGAAGAACAUAUCUGAGAGUAACUGUUCAGGUAUUGACGGUAUUUAACCAGAAAGCCACGGCUAACUACGUGCCAGCAGCCGCGGUAAUACGUAGGUGGCAAGCGUUGUCCGGAUUUAUUGGGCGUAAAGCGAGCGCAGGCGGUUUUUUAAGUCUGAUGUGAAAGCCUUCGGCUCAACCGAAGAAGUGCAUCGGAAACUGGGAAACUUGAGUGCAGAAGAGGACAGUGGAACUCCAUGUGUAGCGGUGAAAUGCGUAGAUAUAUGGAAGAACACCAGUGGCGAAGGCGGCUGUCUGGUCUGUAACUGACGCUGAGGCUCGAAAGUAUGGGUAGCAAACAGGAUUAGAUACCCUGGUAGUCCAUACCGUAAACGAUGAAUGCUAAGUGUUGGAGGGUUUCCGCCCUUCAGUGCUGCAGCUAACGCAUUAAGCAUUCCGCCUGGGGAGUACGGCCGCAAGGCUGAAACUCAAAGGAAUUGACGGGGGCCCGCACAAGCGGUGGAGCAUGUGGUUUAAUUCGAAGCUACGCGAAGAACCUUACCAGGUCUUGACAUACUAUGCAAAUCUAAGAGAUUAGACGUUCCCUUCGGGGACAUGGAUACAGGUGGUGCAUGGUUGUCGUCAGCUCGUGUCGUGAGAUGUUGGGUUAAGUCCCGCAACGAGCGCAACCCUUAUUAUCAGUUGCCAGCAUUAAGUUGGGCACUCUGGUGAGACUGCCGGUGACAAACCGGAGGAAGGUGGGGAUGACGUCAAAUCAUCAUGCCCCUUAUGACCUGGGCUACACACGUGCUACAAUGGAUGGUACAACGAGUUGCGAACUCACGAGAGUAAGCUAAUCUCUUAAAGCCAUUCUCAGUUCGGAUUGUAGGCUGCAACUCGCCUACAUGAAGUCGGAAUCGCUAGUAAUCGCGGAUCAGCAUGCCGCGGUGAAUACGUUCCCGGGCCUUGUACACACCGCCCGUCACACCAUGAGAGUUUGUAACACCCAAAGUCGGUGGGGUAACCUUUUAGGAACCAGCCGCCUAAGGUGGGACAGAUGAUUAGGGUG